GACGAACGCUGGCGGCGUGCUUAACACAUGCAAGUCGAACGGAAAGGCCCUGCUUUUGCGGGGUGCUCGAGUGGCGAACGGGUGAGUAACACGUGAGUAACCUGCCCCUGUCUUUGGGAUAACUUCAGGAAACUGGGGCUAAUACCGGAUAGGAGCUCCUGCUGCAUGGUGGGGGAUGGAAAGUUUCGGCGGUUGGGGAUGGACUCGCGGCUUAUCCGCUUGUUGGUGUGGUAGUGAAUUACAAGGGUUUUGACGGGUAGCCGGCCUGAGAGGUGUACCGGCGACAAUGGGACUGAGAUACGGCGCAGUAUGCUACGGGAGGCAGUGGUGGGGAAUAUGGCACAAUGGGCGGAAGCCUGAGGCAGCAGCGCCGCGUGCGGAAUGACGUCCUACGGGUGGUAAACCGCUUUCGCCGGUAACGAAGCGUGAGUGACGGUAAUUGGUAAAGAAGCACCGGCUAACUACGUG
This 468-nucleotide ribosomal RNA is filed under the name uncultured bacterium. Its description in RNAcentral is "partial 16S ribosomal RNA". It matches the Rfam family "Bacterial small subunit ribosomal RNA", at positions 28 to 507 of the family's 1533-position model. The record is from RNAcentral.